Molecule: ribosomal RNA, 995 nt
Filed under: uncultured bacterium
Lineage: Bacteria
Also listed under: 1 other name
Description: bacterial SSU rRNA
Rfam family: Bacterial small subunit ribosomal RNA
Source: RNAcentral
GGGGAAUAUUGCACAAUGGGGGAAACCCUGAUGCAGCGACGCCGCGUGGAGGAAGAAGGUCUUCGGAUUGUAAACUCCUGUUGUUGGGGAAGAUAAUGACGGUACCCAACAAGGAAGUGACGGCUAACUACGUGCCAGCAGCCGCGGUAAAACGUAGGUCACAAGCGUUGUCCGGAAUUACUGGGUGUAAAGGGAGCGCAGGCGGGAAGACAAGUUGGAAGUGAAAUCUAUGGGCUCAACCCAUAAACUGCUUUCAAAACUGUUUUUCUUGAGUAGUGCAGAGGUAGGCGGAAUUCCCGGUGUAGCGGUGGAAUGCGUAGAUAUCGGGAGGAACACCAGUGGCGAAGGCGGCCUACUGGGCACCAACUGACGCUGAGGCUCGAAAGUGUGGGUAGCAAACAGGAUUAGAUACCCUGGUAGUCCACACCGUAAACGAUGAUUACUAGGUGUUGGAGGAUUGACCCCUUCAGUGCCGCAGUUAACACAAUAAGUAAUCCACCUGGGGAGUACGACCGCAAGGUUGAAACUCAAAGGAAUUGACGGGGGCCCGCACAAGCAGUGGAGUAUGUGGUUUAAUUCGACGCAACGCGAAGAACCUUACCAAGUCUUGACAUCCCUUGACAGACAUAGAAAUAUGUAAUCUCUUCGGAGCAAGGAGACAGGUGGUGCAUGGUUGUCGUCAGCUCGUGUCGUGAGAUGUUGGGUUAAGUCCCGCAACGAGCGCAACCCUUAUGGUCAGUUACUACGCAAGAGGACUCUGGCCAGACUGCCGUUGACAAAACGGAGGAAGGUGGGGAUGACGUCAAAUCAUCAUGCCCUUUAUGACUUGGGCUACACACGUACUACAAUGGCGUUAAACAAAGAGAAGCAAGACCGCGAGGUGGAGCAAAACUCAGAAACAACGUCCCAGUUCGGACUGCAGGCUGCAACUCGCCUGCACGAAGUCGGAAUUGCUAGUAAUCGUGGAUCAGCAUGCCACGGUGAAUACGUUCCCG